CCUGAAGCCCAAAGUUCCAAGCCAAACUAAGAAGUGGGGUGUAUCAUGGUUGUGGGGUGUUAUGGCAACAUCCAUGGGCUAACAGGCUCAGAAGGCCCAUAUUGUAUGCCAAAGAGAGGGGGAGUCCUUAGCAUGGAAGCACACACGCUCUUUUUUUCCUAAACCUCUCUCUCCCUAAGGUGAAACCUGGUGACUCCUCCUCCGCGUCAGAAAUCGCCUCUGGCAGCUGCGGAGCUUCAAAUGUCCUUAACCUUCCAUGAAAACCAUCGCAUUUACAUCCUUUCUCCUAAUAUUAUGUUGUCUUUCUUUGAUUCCUCCCACAGAACUCAAAUCGAAGAACUGUAUAAACCCUAAAUCUUCAAAUCCCAAUUAAAUGCAAGUGAUGCCUAAUAUGAACCUUAAAACUUAGGUUUAUAGAUAUUAUAUGUUAAUGUUAUCAUCUGGUAACGAGAAAUGGACAAAACCAAAGAGUUUGAAGGAGAUGAACCAACCUUCGAAGCGGUGAAUUGCUCUGGUCAAGGUUGCAAGACUUUGAAGACGAAGAUGAUAAGAAAACCAGAAAUGCUUCGGAUAAGGCAAGGUUGGAUUGAAGGCUUAAUCAAGGCAUGUGGCUUUCGUACAAAGACCAAGAACCAUGAAGAACAAGACUAGGGAUAGCUUGGGAGUGAAUAUAGUGUUGUAAUUAGGGUUAUAGUUAGAAAGUUGACUUUGGUCAGUUGGUUGACCAAAAAGUCAAUAGUUGACCGAAGUCAACUGUAGGUCAAGGCUAUUUUUUUGUGUAAAGUCUGAUAAUUUGUUUCUUUUGUGAUGUAACUCGAUUUUUAGCAAUGAAAAUAACUUUUUGGAUGAA
Long non-coding RNA from Lathyrus oleraceus (garden pea), 850 nucleotides. RefSeq lists it as uncharacterized. NCBI's taxonomy places the organism in Eukaryota, Viridiplantae, Streptophyta, Magnoliopsida, Fabales, Fabaceae. The record is from RefSeq and is a predicted model, not a curated record. The transcript has 2 exons.